This 183-nucleotide ribosomal RNA is filed under the name uncultured bacterium. RNAcentral describes it as "partial 16S ribosomal RNA". It matches the Rfam family "Bacterial small subunit ribosomal RNA", at positions 1318 to 1500 of the family's 1533-position model. The record is from RNAcentral.
GCAUGAAGCUGGAAUCGCUAGUAAUCGCGAAUCAGAAUGUCGCGGUGAAUACGUUCCCGGGUCUUGUACACACCGCCCGUCACACCAUGGGAGUUGGAAAUGCCCGAAGUCAGUGACCCAACCGAAAGGAGGGAGCUGCCGAAGGCAGGUCUGAUAACUGGGGUGAAGUCGUAACAAGGUAGC